GAAAUGCGAUAAGUAGUGUGAAUUGCAGAAUUCAGUGAAUCAUCGAAUCUUUGAACGCAUAUUGCGCCCCUUGGUAUUCCAUGGGGCAUGCCUGUUCGAGCGUCAUUUGUACCCUCAAGCUCUGCUUGGUGUUGGGUGUUUGUCCCGUCUCCGCGCGUGGACUCGCCCCAAAGUGAUUGGCAGCCGGCGUACUGGUCCCGGAGCGCAGCACAUGUCGCGCAAACGAGUGCCUUGGUACGGCGGCGUCCAUAAGCCCCUCUCUCACGCUCUUGACCUCGGAUCAGGUAUGGAUACCCGCUGAACUUAAGC
RNAcentral lists this unclassified non-coding RNA (309 nucleotides) under plant metagenome. RNAcentral describes it as "partial contains 5.8S ribosomal RNA, internal transcribed spacer 2, and large subunit ribosomal RNA". The stretch from base 1 to 105 matches the Rfam family "5.8S ribosomal RNA", at positions 50 to 154 of the family's 154-position model. The record is from RNAcentral.